CCAAGUCUCGAUGUCGCUAAGUGAAUUUACCAUCCGCCUCAUUUUUAGUUCAACUGCUACUCGUCGUGUUAAUUCAGGAUUUUUUAGAGCUGGGAGUUAGGAAACAUCAGCAAUGUCCUCACCGGAAAUCCAAUUACUCCACGAAGGCACGUGCCUUCACCAAAAUGCAGAUUAGUUUAACAGCAAGCAAAAGUGAAAUUUAGAGAAAGUAAUGUGGCAACUACCUGGUAUACUUUGCGAGACUAAGAAGGAAAGCUGUCUGCUUCGCUAACUUGUAGAAUGAUGGGUGAACAUUGUACCUAUUAGCAUGUAAACUAUUACUGGAAGAACUUAAAACUUUAUUACUGGAAGAA
Stegodyphus dumicola is the source of this 353-nucleotide long non-coding RNA. The record is from RefSeq and is a predicted model, not a curated record. Lineage: Eukaryota; Metazoa; Arthropoda; Arachnida; Araneae; Eresidae.